CUCUCCCCUCACGCCGGCUGCGCCCACGGCCUUCUCGCGCUUCACCGUGUCGCCCGCGCCCGUGUCCCGCUUCUCCAUCACGCACGUGUCGGACGCGGACGCCCAGUCCGUGGGAGGCCCUGCAGCCAGUGCCGGGGCUGGCUGCCCUGAGGCUUGAGACCUGAGCAGCUGCCCUCAUGAAUGCUGGCGUCACUGAAGGCCCUGCCCAGGCAGCAGCAAGGAUGGUGAAGGGGAAUGGGACUCCAGUGCCAUAGUGCCCCCUGCAGCAUUCUGGAGAAGCCGGUGGACAGAAAACUGGCCGUGCAAGGACAUUCGCGCUGCCCUGGGGGCAGAAUGUGACUGGACCCGGGUUUGCUGUCGGCCUGGGGAUGCUUAUGGCGCGAUGGAUGUCUCCACAUACAUGCACGCUCCAGAGGGGCCCACUCCCUGGGCCUAGGUGGCCCACCCUGCGGCCACCCUUCUGCCUGGCUGCUGCUGUUGGACUGCUUGGCCUCAGGCCUGGGGACCCACCCUUGGCCACGGGCCUGCAUGCCUUGCCUGGCUGGCUUCCUUCCUGUGUUCACAGGACAUUUGUGUCCUUGGCCAGGCAAGGCCUGGCCCCAGAUGAGGUCAGGCCUUCAAAUCUUCCUGCACCCUUCCACCUUGGUCUGGGUUUGCUUGGUGCAAGAAGAGACCCCUGGGCUCAGUGUCUCCAAUGCCCUUAUCUCCGAGUGACUGUUUCCCUUCACUGCCUCUGCCCACAAGGCCCUCCCCACAGGGUCUGGGAUGCUCCCUCUUGGGUCCUCCUGAGCUGCAAAAGGCAGCCAGAAGCACCAAGAGGGGCUUCCAGGCCUCACCCCACUACUGGCCCUGUUCUAGAGGUGCCCUCGGCAGGGUGGUACAGGUAGCUCCCCCCCUUGGGAUAGUGCCUGGCCCCGGGCCCCAGCAGUCAAGGGAUAGUGGGGGCUUCUGCCACAGAGAAAUGGGGAAGAGGCGGGGCCGGGGUACGCAGGCAGCACAGGGAAGUAUUUUUGUAACCAAGGUUGCUGGAAUGAAUGGAAAUGGGGUGAUUUUAAGUUAUUGUUGCCAAAGAGAAAGUUUAUUGUUGCUUUGGGGGUGGGGAAGGGACAUUUUUUAGUUUGUGUGUGUGUGUGGUUUUUUUGUUUUUAAUUAGUUUGAGGCUUCAGAAGCUGGUGCAAUGAUUUUCUUGUUCUUUUUUGUUUUUUUAAGAGAAACCACGCUAAGAAAAAAA
This is a non-coding RNA of Ictidomys tridecemlineatus (thirteen-lined ground squirrel), 1231 nucleotides long. Lineage: Eukaryota; Metazoa; Chordata; Mammalia; Rodentia; Sciuridae. The record is from RefSeq and is a predicted model, not a curated record.